RNAcentral lists this ribosomal RNA (328 nucleotides) under uncultured bacterium. RNAcentral describes it as "bacterial SSU rRNA". It matches the Rfam family "Bacterial small subunit ribosomal RNA", at positions 570 to 898 of the family's 1533-position model. The record is from RNAcentral.
CGUAGGUGGUAGUGCAAGUCUGGGGUGGAAUCUUAGGGCUUAACCCUAAAAUUGCCUUGGAAACUGUAUUACUUGAGUCAGUGAGGGGAGGGUAGAAUUCCCGGUGUAGCGGUGAAAUGCGUAGAUAUCGGGAGGAAGGCCUGUGGCGAAGGCGGCCCUCUGGCGCUGAACUGACACUGAGGCGCGAAAGCGUGGGUAGCAAACAGGAUUAGAUACCCUGGUAGUCCACGCCCUAAACGGUGGGUACUAGGUGUAGGGCUCGUAAGGGUUCUGUGCCGAAGCGAAAGCAUUAAGUACCCCGCCUGGGGAGUACGGCCGCAAGGUUGAA